GCCAGGAUGGUCUAAUCGGUUAAGGCGUCGCCCCGGACCGGCGAGGGUGGCGGGUUCAAUCCCCGCUCCUGGCC
This is a non-coding RNA of Ixodes scapularis (black-legged tick), 74 nucleotides long. Lineage: Eukaryota; Metazoa; Arthropoda; Arachnida; Ixodida; Ixodidae. The record is from Rfam.